GGUUGACCUCGGAUUAAGGUAGGAAUACCCGCUGAACUUAAGCAU
This 45-nucleotide ribosomal RNA is filed under the name foliar endophyte of Picea glauca sp. L10. RNAcentral's name for it is "partial 28S ribosomal RNA". The record is from RNAcentral. Lineage: Eukaryota; Fungi; Ascomycota.